Molecule: long non-coding RNA, 3252 nt
Organism: Prosopis cineraria
Lineage: Eukaryota; Viridiplantae; Streptophyta; Magnoliopsida; Fabales; Fabaceae
Exons: 5
Source: RefSeq, a predicted model, not a curated record
UUUUAUUUAUUUAUAUAUAUUUUAAUCUGGUUUGGGUUAUAUGUACCCGACCCGUGGACCCAUAAUCCAAAAAAAAAAAACUACUUUUUUUUUUGGUUGGGCUUAGAAUCCCAAAGUUGUUUUGUUUUUUUUAGGGCUUCUGGGCUCACUAACCCAGAAGCAUCCCCUUUUCUUUUUGAACGACACGAGGACAGAAACAACGUGUCAUUUCUGUCAUCGUCUACCUCCAACCUAAUCAACUUGACCUGCUUCCUCCAACAGAUUGGGUCCGUCGGACUUGAAACUUUCAGAGGCCAUAUCUCCUCCAUCUGAUCUCCGUUUUAUGCGUUCUUGGUGUCAUUUUUUUCGAGCUUUACACAUUUAUGCAAUCUUUUAGUUCAAAAAACUCAGUUUUCAAACACCCAUUAUUUGGUUUAUUUUUUAUUGUUACGUUCAUCAUUAUUGAUUUUGGCAAUAAUAAUCAUAAAGACAGACAAAGGCAGAUUCAUACAAAAAUACAGUAAGAAAAUAAAAAAUUGAACUUGUAGAUUUGCAUGUAUAUGGUUAAGCAAAUCAAUAUAGGUUCUUCAGACAUAGAAAACACAACCCAAGAAAAAUGAAAGCUCUGAUACCAAUGUAAGAAUCUGAGGAGGAAAGCAUACCUUGAGUAAUUGAUUUGCACAGAUGUAUGCGGGAACAAAGCCACACCAGAUAAACUUUAUUCAGAUGCACACAGCAAAUGCAUACAUAGAAAGAUGAGAAGCCAAGAAAAAAACUGAGAGCAUUCUGUUUUUUUCACUCAAAAAAAACUGAGUGAACUGCACCCAUAACCAAGGAUAUAUGGGAAUGUGCGGCAGGCUUUGUUUAUCAACCAUUCCCUCUUAAAAUUCAAAGGUUGAAGAAAAUUACAUUUGAGGCCAUGAGUAAAUUACAUAUUGAACCCAAGCAUUUCUCAUAAUUAUGAUAAUAACCCCAUUUCUCAAUUUAGGCUUUUAUAUGGGCCUAAUCCACCAAGGGUGGAUAACCCAAUAAUGGCUUUUUAUGAGCAUUCAAUAUCUGUAAGUAAUGGAUGACCUUAUGCACUAGUUACUUGUUCUUUCAGGAAUUCAGCCUUGGAAGUUCCAGAUACUCUUGAAAUUUUAAAGCUUAGUUUCUAGAUAUCAUUUAUGAACUGUCUUGUCUGUUAAAAGGAACUAACAUGUGGCAUAUGAUGGAAGGUUAUCUCUUAAAUAUGGCUCUGACACUAUUAGGAUCCUUCUAUUUAUUUUCAACCUAGUCCGUGUUCUGUAAAAGAUAAGUCUGCUGAUUUUGUGAUCUGAUUUCUUUGCUUAUAAUGAGUUAUGAGUCAAAUUCAACUGAUUCCAUACUAUCGACUGAAAACCAGAGAGGAUUGGCUCGUGUUGAAAUAAAUAUUCAACCUUCUAUAUCAGUUUAUUUUUUGUUGUCUAAUUAUCACAACAUUGUCUUUCUUUGGAAAUGAUUGGAAGUUUAGACUAUCUGCGCAAAGAAUUUGAUUUGGAUAUACAGUUCUUGUUAAUGACUAGACUGAUCUUGCUGGCAAGCACAAAUACAUUUUCCCAAAUGUUGAGGUUCCUACUCUUCCAAUGCAUUUUUGUGGAGUAACUCUUCAUGUAAUGCUGGUGGUGGAAGCUUACCCAUGACGGGUGUCACUCACAACUUUCCCCCUUUAUUUUCUUUGUGCCAAAAAUUUUAUAUUGUCUUCAAAUAAGUAGGAAUAAAUAUGAAUUUUGAUGUAGUUACUGGUGGUGAUUUUAAUAUGAAUAAAUAUGAAUUUUAAAUACGUUUGUACAAAUCAUUUGCUGUUGGUCUUGCAUAAAAAGUUGAUUGAAUUUAUUUCUUAAUUGGAUUUACUUAUUCAAUUUUGGCAAGUUUGACCUUGAAGAUCCAAAAUAGAAUCUCAUGCUGCCAUCAUUUAGCUUAGUGAUAUUUGCUAGCUCAUUUGAAGCCACAUGCGAACUUUAAACUUGUUAAAAUGUUAUCUUAAAAGUUUUUGGCUACUUCCUCUCAAGGGCAUAUUCUGUGAACUUACUCCAGAGUCAAUUCCUUCUGUUGAUCGGCUUCAUGUGUUAUUAAUUAAUUAUUGUUCUCUGUCCGAUUGAUCGAAUAAUUAAUUGAUUAAUUAUGUUAACAAAUCAUAGUUCACUCACAAUUGGGACUGCGCUGCCUAUAUUGAAAAUACUAUAAGGAAAUUUGAACUGCUUUUAUUUUGGUCAACCUAAGACUGAACAAGACACUGGAUUGCUUCUUGCUUUAUUUGAUUUUAUCAACUCUAUUGAACUGCAUAUUGAAAUCAUAGUUGGACAAGGUUCUAUAAUGACGACCUGAGGAGAUAGAUUGGGUCAAGUUUUGUCAUCCCAUACGUUCUCAGGGCAGGGUUGUGCACCCUUGAGGGUCGGACACGAAAUCUAUAGAUUGUUAUUAGAAAAGGAUUGUGUCGAUGAACUUUACACCACGUCUUCGGAAUGAUAAUGUGAUAUGGCUUUCUGUUAAGCCUGUAUACCGAAGUUCACCAUAUACAUGCAUCAUGGAAAGGAGAAUGGGGACCUUUUUCUUGGGUGUUGCUUGGGCAUGUGAUCCCAGAGAAUUGGCUAAUAUUGAUCUUUUGAGUGUGCACUACUUUGGUGGAUAAUUAUGCUCCUCUACUCUGUGGACUGAUUAAUAAUAGAAAGGGCUUGAGAACACUUGCUGGAAAUUUGUGAAAGGAAGAUUGUCAAUUCAAUGCAUCAACCAAUUACGGGAAACAAGUUUUGUCUUGAAGUUGAAAACCCAAAUUGUGCACAAGUUUGAAGCCCAAAAUGAGACUUGUUUGCAUCACACUAUUUGAAGCCUGAAAACAAUGUUUGCAGCAUCUUUAAUAUUCCGCAAAAGUUUGAAGCCCAAAAUGGGACACAUGCCUGGAUUGCAAGAACAUGAACUCAAUAUUUGUGGCAUUAUUGAUAUUUUGUAAAAUUUUGAAGCCUAAAAUGGGACUUUGUGCAUCACAUCAUUUAAAGUCCAAAAAUUGGGUUUGCUUGAUUUUAGGGAGAGAGAGACUUGAUGUUUGCAGCAUCUUUGAUAUUUCACAAAAGUUCGAAGCUCAAAAUGGGACAUGUUUAUGUCAUUUAAAGCCCAAGCUAGCCCCAAUAGCAAGAACAUAAACUUUGUAUUUGUGGCAUCUUUAAUAUUUUAUAAACGUUUAAAGUUGAAAAUGGGACUUGUGUAUCAUACUGUUUGAAGCCUAAAAAUUGGGUUUGAUUUCAAGAAGAAAGAGAC